UGAGGAAUAUUGGUCAAUGGGCGAGAGCCUGAACCAGCCAAAUCGCGUGAAGGAAGACUGCCUUAUGGGUUGUAAACUUCUUUUAUACAGGAAUAAAAAAGGGGACGUGUCCCUUAUUGCAUGUACUGUAUGAAUAAGCAUCGGCUAACUCCGUGCCAGCAGCCGCGGUAAUACGGAGGAUGCGAGCGUUAUCCGGAUUUAUUGGGUUUAAAGGGUGCGCAGGCGGGCUUUUAAGUCAGCGGUGAAAUCUCGGGGCUUAACUCCGAAACUGCCGUUGAAACUGGGAGUCUUGAGUAUGGAUGAAGUAGGCGGAAUUCGUUGUGUAGCGGUGACAUGCUUAGAUAUAACGAGGAACUCCGAUUGCGUAGGCAGCUUACUAAGCCAUAACUGACGCUCAAGCACGAAAGCGUGGGGAUCAAAUCAAGAUUGAUGAUACCCUGGUAGUCACGCCGUAAACGAAUGAUUAUCUAGUUGUAUGCGAUAUACCGUAUGUGACUAAGCG
This 502-nucleotide ribosomal RNA is filed under the name uncultured bacterium. RNAcentral's name for it is "partial 16S ribosomal RNA". It matches the Rfam family "Bacterial small subunit ribosomal RNA", at positions 355 to 853 of the family's 1533-position model. The record is from RNAcentral.